CCUAUACAUGCAGUCGAGCGGACUUGAAGAGAAGCUUGCUUCUCUGAUGGUUAGCGGCGGACGGGUGAGUAACACGUAGGCAACCUGCCCUCAAGUUUGGGACAACUACCGGAAACGGUAGCUAAUACCGAAUAGUUGUUUCCUUCGCCUGAAGGAAACUGGAAAGACGGAGCAAUCUGUCACUUGGGGAUGGGCCUGCGGCGCAUUAGCUAGUUGGUGGGGUAACGGCUCACCAAGGCGACGAUGCGUAGCCGACCUGAGAGGGUGAUCGGCCACACUGGGACUGAGACACGGCCCAGACUCCUACGGGAGGCAGCAGUAGGGAAUCUUCCGCAAUGGGCGAAAGCCUGACGGAGCAAUGCCGCGUGAGUGAUGAAGGUUUUCGGAUCGUAAAGCUCUGUUGCCAGGGAAGAACGCUUGGGAGAGUAACUGCUCUCAAGGUGACGGUACCUGAGAAGAAAGCCCCGGCUAACUACGUGCCAGCAGCCGCGGUAAUACGUAGGGGGCAAGCGUUGUCCGGAAUUAUUGGGCGUAAAGCGCGCGCAGGCGGUCAUUUAAGUCUGGUGUUUAAUCCCGGGGCUCAACCCCGGAUCGCACUGGAAACUGGGUGACUUGAGUGCAGAAGAGGAGAGUGGAAUUCCACGUGUAGCGGUGAAAUGCGUAGAUA
RNAcentral lists this ribosomal RNA (667 nucleotides) under Paenibacillus amylolyticus. Its description in RNAcentral is "bacterial SSU rRNA". It matches the Rfam family "Bacterial small subunit ribosomal RNA", at positions 48 to 696 of the family's 1533-position model. The record is from RNAcentral. Lineage: Bacteria; Bacillati; Bacillota; Bacilli; Caryophanales; Paenibacillaceae.